Long non-coding RNA from Fukomys damarensis (Damara mole-rat), 575 nucleotides. RefSeq lists it as uncharacterized. Lineage: Eukaryota; Metazoa; Chordata; Mammalia; Rodentia; Bathyergidae. The transcript is spliced from 4 exons. The record is from RefSeq and is a predicted model, not a curated record.
GGGGACCAGCGAACUAACAGUUCCCUUCCCAGCUAGCACACGCUGACCCUAAUAAUAGACCGCGGGCUGAAUCAUCGUGGCUCUGACACAGUCCCAGCUGUUUCCGUGACCAGCUUUCUGGAGGCCUCCAAGAAUGUGCAGGGUAAUCAGUGACUUUAAUUUUAGUCACCGUGACACACAGGAGGUUCUGCCGAUCUCUGUUGACCUGGCCUUAGGAUGCGUGAUGUGAUGAGGGGAGGAAACUGAGGACAAAAGCUCUGCGAGGAAUCCCUACCCAAUGACUCUAGCGGGCACACGAAAUGUGGCCUCACCUAUUCAUACAAACCAGAGCCUGGACUUCCUGGUGACACAUUUUGAGCUGCGAAGAAAAAGCUGAUACCCUAGAUAGCAGUGCAAUUGCUUGGAAGGAAGUUGGACCCUUGAGUGAUGGGAUCUGAAGUCGUGAUGAGAUUGAUAUAGGUUCACUCUACAGUGCCGUUGACAACCAGCACCCAUCUGUAGACAAACAUGCAAGUACAACUCCACCUGUGUUCGUAGCACCCCAGAGGUGACAGAUCCUGUACCACAUGCGCCUG